UACGUAGGGUCCGAGCGUUGUCCGGAAUUACUGGGCGUAAAGAGCUCGUAGGUGGUUUGUCGCGUUGUUCGUGAAAACUCACAGCUUAACUGUGGGCGUGCGGGCGAUACGGGCAGACUUGAGUACUGCAGGGGAGACUGGAAUUCCUGGUGUAGCGGUGGAAUGCGCAGAUAUCAGGAGGAACACCGGUGGCGAAGGCGGCCUGCUGGGCUAUGGCUGACACUGAGGCGCGACAGCGUGGGGAGCAAACAGG
RNAcentral lists this ribosomal RNA (253 nucleotides) under uncultured bacterium. RNAcentral describes it as "partial 16S ribosomal RNA". It matches the Rfam family "Bacterial small subunit ribosomal RNA", at positions 524 to 776 of the family's 1533-position model. The record is from RNAcentral.